Molecule: ribosomal RNA, 454 nt
Filed under: uncultured Streptococcus sp.
Lineage: Bacteria; Bacillati; Bacillota; Bacilli; Lactobacillales; Streptococcaceae
Description: bacterial SSU rRNA
Rfam family: Bacterial small subunit ribosomal RNA
Source: RNAcentral
GCACAAGCGGUGGAUUAUGUUGUUUAAUUCGACGCAACGCGAAGAACCUUACCAGGCCUUGACAUACUCGGCAAAGCUCUAGAGAUAGAGUGGAGGUUAUCCGGGAUACAGGUGGUGCAUGGUUGUCGUCAGCUCGUGUCGUGAGAUGUUGGGUUAAGUCCCGCAACGAGCGCAACCCUUGUCUUUAGUUGCCAUCAGGUAAUGCUGGGCACUCUAGCGAGACUGCCGGUAAUAAACCGGAGGAAGGUGGGAUGACGUCAAAUCAUCAUGCCCCUUAUGACCUGGGCUACACACGUGCUACAAUGGUUGGUACAACGAGUUGCGAGUCGGUGACGGCGAGCUAAUCUCUUAAAGCCAAUCUCAGUUCGGAUUGUAGGCUGCAACUCGCCUACAUGAAGUCGGAAUCGCUAGUAAUCGCGGAUCAGCACGCCGCGGUCGAAUACGUUCCGGCCUU